UUAUAAGUUGUCUAGAGCGUCAG
RNAcentral lists this non-coding RNA (23 nucleotides) under Drosophila melanogaster (fruit fly). Lineage: Eukaryota; Metazoa; Arthropoda; Insecta; Diptera; Drosophilidae. The record is from RNAcentral.